Molecule: long non-coding RNA, 269 nt
Filed under: Brassica napus (rape)
Lineage: Eukaryota; Viridiplantae; Streptophyta; Magnoliopsida; Brassicales; Brassicaceae
Description: long non-coding RNA (BNAP_LNC000330)
Source: RNAcentral
AUUUGAUAACACUUUUGCACAAGUAUUUCAAAGAGUUUAAGAUGGGUUCUGAUGUACUAAUAGUAUAAUAUCAUAAUAAUAAUAAAAAUAAACAUGGGCAAACCACGAAGGGAUCGAUAAAGAAAGAACAUUAAUGUGAAAAAAGGACAGGAAGGGGUCGAAAACUAAAAGCAAGUUGGUUCGAGCGUCACCACCUUCACGUGGAAGGGACGUGGAGCUCGAAGUUCUACACUCGAUUCCGAAUCAUAAGACAGCGAAGCACACGUGUG